This 331-nucleotide ribosomal RNA is filed under the name uncultured eukaryote. RNAcentral's name for it is "partial 18S ribosomal RNA". It matches the Rfam family "Eukaryotic small subunit ribosomal RNA", at positions 1470 to 1796 of the family's 1831-position model. The record is from RNAcentral.
CCCUUAGAUGUUCUGGGCCGCACGCGCGCUACACUGACGAAGUCAGCGAGCAUGUCCUACGCCGACAGGUGCGGGGAAUCUUGUCAAACUUCGUCGUGAUGGGGAUUGAUUAUUGAAAUUCUUGAUCAUCAACGAGGAAUUCCUAGUAAGCGCAAGUCAGCAGCUUGCUUUGAUUACGUCCCUGCCCUUUGUACACACCGCCCGUCGCUACUACCGAUUGAAUGGUUUAGUGAGAUCUUCGGAUUGGCGCCACUGCGGCUCAGCAAUGGGCUCGGUGGAUGCCGAAAAGUUGAUCAAACUUGAUCAUUUAGAGGAAGUAAAAGUCGUAACA